UGGGGAAUAUUGGACAAUGGGCGCAAGCCUGAUCCAGCCAUGCCGCGUGAGUGAUGAAGGCUCUAGGGUUGUAAAGCUCUUUCACCGGUGAAUAUAAUGACGGUAACCGGAGAAGAAGCCCCGGCUAACUUCGUGCCAGCAGCCGCGGUAAUACGAAGGGGGCUAGCGUUGUUCGGAUUUACUGGGCGUAAAGCGCACGUAGGCGGACUUUUAAGUCAGGGGUGAAAUCCCGGGGCUCAACCCCGGAACUGCCUUUGAUACUGGAAGUCUUGAGUAUGGUAGAGGUGAGUGGAAUUCCGAGUGUAGAGGUGAAAUUCGUAGAUAUUCGGAGGAACACCAGUGGCGAAGGCGGCUCACUGGACCAUUACUGACGCUGAGGUGCGAAAGCGUGGGGAGCAAACAGG
Molecule: ribosomal RNA, 404 nt
Filed under: Actinomycetes bacterium
Lineage: Bacteria; Bacillati; Actinomycetota; Actinomycetes
Description: Actinobacteria bacterium partial 16S ribosomal RNA
Rfam family: Bacterial small subunit ribosomal RNA
Source: RNAcentral